This 483-nucleotide ribosomal RNA is filed under the name uncultured bacterium. RNAcentral's name for it is "partial 16S ribosomal RNA". The record is from RNAcentral.
AUUACCGCGGCUGCUGGYACGUAGUUAGCCKGUCCUUAUUCUUCYGGUACCGUCAUCCAYACCCGGUAUUAUCAGGUGCGAUUUCUUCCCGGACAAAAGUBCUUUACAACCCGAAGGCCUUCUUCACACACGSGGCAUUGCUGGAUCAGGGUUGCCCYCAUUGUCCAAAAUUCCCCACUKCUGCCUCCCGUAGGAGUCUGGGCCGUGUCUCAGUCCCAGUGUGGCUGAUCGUCCUCUCAGACCAGCUACUGAUCGUCGCCUUGGUAGGCCUUUACCCCACCAACUAGCUAAUCAGACAUCGGCCGCUCCUAUAGCAUGAGGCCUUGCGGUCCCCCACUUUCACCCUCAGGUCGUAUGCGGUAUUAGCUAGUCUUUCGACUAGUUAUCCCCCACUACAGGGCACGUUCCGAUGUAUUACUCACCCGUUCGCCACUCGCCACCAGGAUUGCUCCCGUGCUGCCGUUCGACUUGCAUGUGUAAGAA